GACGAACGCUGGCGGCGUGCCUAAUACAUGCAAGUAGAACGCUGAAAUAAGAGCUUGCUCUUAUGGAUGAGUUGCGAACGGGUGAGUAACACGUGGGGAACCUACCUUCUAGCGGGGGAUAACACAUAGAAAUGUGUGCUAAUACCGCAUAACAAUGAUUGAUGCAUAUCGAUUAUUUGAAAGGCGCAAUUGCGUCACUAGAAGAUGGCCCCGCGGUGCAUUAGCUAGUUGGUGAGGUAACGGCUCACCAAGGCAAUGAAGCAUAGCCGACCUGAGAGGGUGAUCGGCCACACUGGGACUGAGACACGGCCCAGACUCCUACGGGAGGCAGCAGUAGGGAAUCUUCGGCAAUGGACGCAAGUCUGACCGAGCAACGCCGCGUGAGUGAAGAAGGUUUUCGGAUCGUAAAACUCUGUUGUAAGAGAAGAACGUUGAUGAGAGUGGAAAGUUCAUCAAGUGACGGUAUCUUACCAGAAAGCCACGGCUAACUACGUGCCAGCAGCCGCCGCGG
This 511-nucleotide ribosomal RNA is filed under the name uncultured bacterium. RNAcentral's name for it is "partial 16S ribosomal RNA". It matches the Rfam family "Bacterial small subunit ribosomal RNA", at positions 28 to 523 of the family's 1533-position model. The record is from RNAcentral.